CGGGAUGUUCGCCGACGGCGGCGCGCCCGGCGACGGCGCGCGCGGCGGCGAGCGAGUUCACCGGUUCGGGGCCGAUCGCCUCGA
This 84-nucleotide transfer RNA is filed under the name Alphaproteobacteria bacterium. RNAcentral's name for it is "tRNA-Arg". The record is from RNAcentral. Lineage: Bacteria; Pseudomonadati; Pseudomonadota; Alphaproteobacteria.